GAUGAACGCUGGCGGCGUGCCUAAUACAUGCAAGUCGAGCGAAAAGAUGAGGAGCUUGCUCCUCUGACGUUAGCGGCGGACGGGUGAGUAACACGUGGAUAACCUCCCUAUAAGUCUGGGAUAACUUCGGGAAACCGGAGAUAAUACCGGAUAAUAUAUUGAACCGCAUGGUUCAAUAGUGAAAGUCGGUUUUGCUGGCACUUCUAGAUGGAUACGGGCCGCAUUAGCUAGUUGGUACGGUAACGGCUUACCAAGGGAAGGAUGCGUAGGCGACCUGAGAGGGUGAUCGGCCACACUGGAAGUUAGACACGGUCCUGGCGCCUGCGGUAGGCAGCAGUAGGGAAUCUUCCGCAAUGGUCGAAAGCCUGGCGGAGCGACGCCGCGUGAGUGAUGAAGGUCUUCGGAGCGUAAAACUCUGUUAUGAGUGAAGAACAAAUGUGUAAGUAACUAUGCACGUCUUGACGGUACCUAGUCAGAAAGCCACGGCUAACUACGUG
This 497-nucleotide ribosomal RNA is filed under the name uncultured bacterium. RNAcentral's name for it is "partial 16S ribosomal RNA". It matches the Rfam family "Bacterial small subunit ribosomal RNA", at positions 28 to 507 of the family's 1533-position model. The record is from RNAcentral.